CGCCCUUAGAGUUUGAUCCUGGCUCAGGAUGAACGCUGGCGGCGUGCCUAACACAUGCAAGUCGAACGGACUCAUAUUGAAACCUAGUGAUUUAUGAGUUAGUGGCGGACGGGUGAGUAACGCGUGGAAAACCUGCCGUAUACCGGGGGAUAACACUUAGAAAUAGGUGCUAAUACCGCAUAAGCGCACAGCUUCGCAUGAAGCAGUGUGAAAAACUCCGGUGGUAUAUGAUGGUUCCGCGUCUGAUUAGCUAGUUGGCGGGGUAACGGCCCACCAAGGCAGCGAUCAGUAGCCGGCCUGAGAGGGUGAACGGCCACAUUGGGACUGAGACACGGCCCAAACUCCUACGGGAGGCAGCAGUGGGGAAUAUUGCACAAUGGGGGAAACCCUGAUGCAGCGACGCCGCGUGAGCAAAGAAGUAUUUCGGUACGUAAAGCUCUAUCAGCAGGGAAGAAAAUGACGGUACCUGACUAAGAAGCCCCGGCUAACUACGUGCCAGCAGCCGCGGUAAUACGUAGGGGGCAAGCGUUAUCCGGAUUUACUGCGUGUAAAGGGAGCGUAGACGGCAGCGCAAGUCUGGAGUGAAAUGCCGGGGCCCCACCCCCGGAACUGCUUUGGAAACUGUGCAGCUUUGAGUGCGGGAGAGGUUAAGUGUAAUUCCUAGUGAGCGGUGAACUGCGCA
This 682-nucleotide ribosomal RNA is filed under the name uncultured bacterium. RNAcentral describes it as "bacterial SSU rRNA". It matches the Rfam family "Bacterial small subunit ribosomal RNA", at positions 1 to 692 of the family's 1533-position model. The record is from RNAcentral.